RNAcentral lists this ribosomal RNA (491 nucleotides) under uncultured bacterium. RNAcentral's name for it is "partial 16S ribosomal RNA". It matches the Rfam family "Bacterial small subunit ribosomal RNA", at positions 29 to 507 of the family's 1533-position model. The record is from RNAcentral.
AUGAACGCUAGCUACAGGCUUAACACCUGCAAGUCGCGGGGAAACGACAUCGAAAGCUUGCUUUUGAUGGGCGUCGACCGGCGCACGGGUGAGUAACGCGUAUCCAACCUGCCCAUCACUUGGGAAUAACCUUGCGAAAGUAAGACUAAUACCCAAUGAUAUCCCACGAAGGCAUCGGAAUGGGAUUAAAGAUUUAUCGGUGAUGGAUGGGGAUGCGUCUGAUUAGCUUGUUGGCGGGGUAACGGCCCACCAAGGCAACGAUCAGUAGGGGUUCUGAGAGGAAGGUCCCCCACAUUGGAACUGAGACACGGUCCAAACACCUACGGGAGGCAGCAGUGAGGAAUAUUGGUCAAUGGGCGAGAGCCUGAACCAGCCAAGUAGCGUGCAGGAAGACGGCCCUAUGGGUUGUAAACUGCUUUUAUAAGGGAAUAAAGUGGGUCACGUGGGACUUUUUGCAUGUACCUUAUGAAUAAGGACCGGCUAAUUCCGUG